Molecule: transfer RNA, 74 nt
Organism: Prochlorothrix hollandica
Lineage: Bacteria; Bacillati; Cyanobacteriota; Cyanophyceae; Prochlorotrichales; Prochlorotrichaceae
Rfam family: tRNA
About the family: Transfer RNA (tRNA) molecules are approximately 80 nucleotides in length. Their secondary structure includes four short double-helical elements and three loops (D, anti-codon, and T loops). Further hydrogen bonds mediate the characteristic L-shaped molecular structure. tRNAs have two regions of fundamental functional importance: the anti-codon, which is responsible for specific mRNA codon recognition, and the 3' end, to which the tRNAs corresponding amino acid is attached (by aminoacyl-tRNA synthetases). tRNAs cope with the degeneracy of the genetic code in two manners: having more than one tRNA (with a specific anti-codon) for a particular amino acid; and 'wobble' base-pairing, i.e. permitting non-standard base-pairing at the 3rd anti-codon position.
Source: Rfam
GGGGUUGUAGCUCAGAUGGAUAGAGCGAGUGCCUCCUAAGCGCUAGGCCGCGCGUUCGAAUCGCGCCAACCCCG